Non-coding RNA from Macaca mulatta (Rhesus monkey), 969 nucleotides. NCBI's taxonomy places the organism in Eukaryota, Metazoa, Chordata, Mammalia, Primates, Cercopithecidae. The record is from RefSeq and is a predicted model, not a curated record.
CCUGUUGUAUGUAUUUUUUAACAAUGCAUGCAUUCCCUGGGGCUGUAAUUUAUUCUACUUGCCAUGAUGUCAUGGUUCACUACGAAAAGUAGGAGCAUGGUGACUUCAGACUUCUCAACACAUUAAACCUAUGAGCAGAGUGUAACCCGCCAACGUUGUGCCCGGAAGUCCUGAAGACUUCUGGGAUGGACUCAUCCUGCAUCAACGAGCCUAGUUGUUUUCAGCUAAAGCUUGUGAGUAUGAGGGUACAGGGACUGUGCUUGUGAGUAAGCAGGCCGGCGUGCUGCUGGGGGUGCAUCAGGUAGAGAGACUAUAGCGUGUGCAUCUGUUCCUCUCUCUCAACGUCUGCCCGAAUCUCCUUCACCCUCCCCGGAGUGAAGCAGUGAGGCAGGAGCAAUGCUCACAUUUCACUCCAAGCACCUACCUCGUUAUAUUUUCAGCAAAAUAGCUUUCUAUCUAAGAAGUAUUCUGGGACAAAUGUAAAGUUUAUUCAUCCAUUCAAUUAAUGUCAGUGAUGAGCCAUGCCCUUGUCUAGGUGCUGGGGGUGUAAGAGUGGAAAGAAGGAACCCACAAAUCCCUGCUCUUAUACAGCUGACACUCUAGUGGAUUUAAACAUGUCUCAUUCUCAUCACACAUAGGUGAGGAAACUGAGGUUAAUUGACUUAACCAAGGACAAACAGUAAAGGGCAGAGCUAAGAUUUUAAGUAAGGUACUAGAAACCUCCAUUACUUCUGGUAAACCACUCUUUCCAAUCUCCAAGAUCAUCUAGAAAAACUCCAGUAAAGGCAUCCUAUCCUCCUUCAACUGAAGAAUGGGUACAUGACCCAAAUGUCAUUCCAAUGCCGGUUUCUGCUAUCAAGACCUCCUGGAUGUAUGACUUUUUUUUGUUCUCAAGUAGAUUUUUCAGCUUUGCCUAUGAUUCUGUAAGCCAUCCCAUAUUUUUCCAAUAAACCUUUUUUUAUCCAGUUA